GAGAGCUUAAAGGGGGCAGAGUGUCUGUCUGGGAAGGUGGAAAGUUCCAACAUGUGCGUGUGGAGACCGCACAACGAGAAUGUGCCGAGUGCCCCUGAGCUGGGCCUGCCUGGACUCCAGGCCAAAGCUGGGCUGAGAGUCCGUCCGGUCCGGCCUCUUGAGCCUCACGGCACACGACAUGCCUCCGAGCCCACAGCUGGCUGGAGACCGGCCGGGGCUGGACGCACCAGGGAGCACGGUCCUGCUCAGAAAACCCCUGGAGACCAGCUGGCGGUGGGCAGUGCAGGCGCCUGGGCCCCCCACUUUUCCUCUCGUCUCCGCAGGACACAGCAAGCCAGCUCUGUGUCCUCUCUGGUCCCCCGGGGCUGCCCUAAGACAUGCACGGACGGGAGGCUUGGGACAACAGACCUUCACUCUCCCCCUCCUGGAGGCUGGACGUCCGAGACCAAGAUGCCGGCAGCUGAAUAAUACAUGAUCAGUGUCAAAAUAAAUUACAAUCCUUCCAUUAUAAACCACUUUGCUGUCCUACAUCCGCGCGGCGUCUGCCUUCCCUUCCGGAGCUGCCGGGAAGCCGCCCUUCCCUCCCUGCCACGGCUCCGGCACCCAUCUCUGCGCGGCGGAAUGGAAUAUGGAGUUGGUGCCUCCCGGACCCGCAAAACUGGGAACACACUGCAUUCGAGAUUGGUUUUGUGGCCAUAAAUUAUGUAACAGCUUCAAUCCCAAACCAGACCGGUAUUUCCACGUAUGCUGUAAAUAAAAACAGUAAAUGAUU
This is a long non-coding RNA of Hyaena hyaena (striped hyena), 772 nucleotides long. RefSeq lists it as uncharacterized. Lineage: Eukaryota; Metazoa; Chordata; Mammalia; Carnivora; Hyaenidae. The transcript is spliced from 2 exons. The record is from RefSeq and is a predicted model, not a curated record.